Long non-coding RNA from Hippocampus zosterae (dwarf seahorse), 213 nucleotides. RefSeq lists it as uncharacterized. The record is from RefSeq and is a predicted model, not a curated record. NCBI's taxonomy places the organism in Eukaryota, Metazoa, Chordata, Actinopteri, Syngnathiformes, Syngnathidae. The transcript is spliced from 3 exons.
GAUGGAGGCGGUAACAGUACCAACUUGGACACUGAAAACACAGGCACCUACAAAAGGCCACCGAAGAUGCAGUCAAUUAAAGAAAGAAAUUAUGCUGAUGACGCUGAUGACGACAUGAGUGAUGUUUCUGGCAGUGAAUAUGGCGAUGGAGGGGUGUGCCAUAAGACAGUUAAGAAGACUGUCAAGAAAAAAAAGACAAUGUUGGGAAGACAU